CACCAGGUCAGGACACGGUAAGGAUUGACGGACUGAAGGCUCUUUCUCGAUUCCGUGGAAAGUGGUGCAUGGCCGUUUUGGUUGGUGGAUCGAUCCGUCUGGUUAAUUCCGUUAACGAACGAGACCUCGGCACUCCGAAUAGCGCGGCGGACGUCGCGGCCUCCGGGCCGUCUUCCGCACGAGCUUCUUAGAGGGGACCGUCCCCCGCCGGGGAAGGAGGUGCGAGGCAACGACAGGUCUGUGAUGCCCUUAGAUGUUCUGGGCCGCACGCGCAUUACACUGACGCGUCCAACGGGUGACUCCCGACCCGAAGGGGCCGGGGAAUCCGCAAGGCGCGUCGUGAUGGGGAUUGAACGUUGCAAUUGUUGUUCACGAACGAGGAAUUCCUAGUAGGCGCGGGUCAUCAACCCGCGCCGAUUACGUCCCUGCC
RNAcentral lists this ribosomal RNA (430 nucleotides) under uncultured eukaryote. RNAcentral describes it as "bacterial SSU rRNA". It matches the Rfam family "Eukaryotic small subunit ribosomal RNA", at positions 1216 to 1657 of the family's 1831-position model. The record is from RNAcentral.